This is a long non-coding RNA of Panicum hallii, 243 nucleotides long. RefSeq lists it as uncharacterized. NCBI's taxonomy places the organism in Eukaryota, Viridiplantae, Streptophyta, Magnoliopsida, Poales, Poaceae. The transcript has 3 exons. The record is from RefSeq and is a predicted model, not a curated record.
CAUUUGCAUCUGCCAGCUUUGACCUCAAUGCCAUACAUAAGCUGUCUGAAACCUGAAGGACUGAAAUGGUGAUGACAGUUGGUGACACUGACGGGUGGGCCAAAUGCAGCUGCAGCUCCUCCCUCACCUCGAAAGAGAGAGAAAGGAAGUUUCAGGACAGAUUGACUCUGCUGGAUCAUGGAUCUCUUGGCCUCUUGGACUUUCCAGCUUCAAGAAUUAGUACAUCUGCAAACGAAGUCACGC